UACAGAGGUCUCAAGCGUUGUUCGGAUUCAUUGGGCGUAAAGGGUGUGUAGGUGGCGCCGUAAGUCGGGUGUGAAAUUUCGGAGCUUAACUCCGAAACUGCAUUCGAUACUGCGGUGCUUGAGGACUGGAGAGGAGACUGGAAUUCCUGGUGUAGCGGUGAAAUGCGCAGAUAUCAGGAGGAACACCGGUGGCGAAGGCGGGUCUCUGGGCCGAUACUGACGCUGAGGCACGAAGGCCAGGGGAGCAAACGGG
This 253-nucleotide ribosomal RNA is filed under the name uncultured bacterium. RNAcentral's name for it is "partial 16S ribosomal RNA". It matches the Rfam family "Bacterial small subunit ribosomal RNA", at positions 524 to 776 of the family's 1533-position model. The record is from RNAcentral.